GAAUCCGCYAAGGAGUGUGUAACAACUCACCUGCCGAAUGAACUAGCCCUGAAAAUGGAUGGCGCUGAAGCGGGCGACCGACACCAUGCCGUCUGGGCAAAUGAUUGAUUUCAGAUGAGUAGGAGGGCGUGGCGGCCGUGUCGAAGGGCGCAUGCAGAUGCGUCUGGAACGGCCGCUAGUGCAGAUCUUGGUGGUAGUAGCAAAUAUUCAAGCGAGAUCCUUGAAGGGCGAAGCGGGGAAGGGUUCCACGCGAACAUUGAUUGGGCGUGGGUGAGUCGUUCCUAAGCCGAGUGGCGAUUGCUAAGUAGCGGCGAAAGGGAAGUGGGUUGACAUUCUCACACACGGAUGUGGAGGCGGUGACGCUUGUUUGGGGCGAACACGCUGGCGAUGGCGCUGGGCAGAGUUGUCUUUUCUGUUUGACCGCUUAUAGACGCGGUGUGGAAUCCGCUUGUCGGGAGAAACACGCGUUUACGGGCAGAGCGCCGGGGUUUUUCCGGCGUCCAGCUCGCCAUCGACGGCCCUUGAAACUUUGCCUGCUGGAGACCUUUUUUUAUUUUAGGGUUGCAAAUCCACGCCGUGGCGUACCGAUCACCGCAUCAGGUCCCCGAGGUGAACAGCCUCUGCUCAGUAUGAAAAAUGCAGGUAAGGGAAGUCGGCAAA
Molecule: ribosomal RNA, 660 nt
Filed under: Platoma ardreanum
Lineage: Eukaryota; Rhodophyta; Florideophyceae; Nemastomatales; Schizymeniaceae
Description: eukaryotic LSU rRNA
Rfam family: Eukaryotic large subunit ribosomal RNA
Source: RNAcentral